AAAUAGGAAAUAGAUUUAAUACUUAAUACUUACAAACUCAAAUGUGCUCCAGUUGCGCUCGCAACUAGAAGAAGAGCAACAAAGGCCUAGUAUGCGUCGUGCAAGCUUUGAAAGCUCAAAAGCACGACCUCCAUUUGUACUCCACCAAGUAACUAUAAAAAUAUAAUAAAAAAACUGAAUUAAUAGUAAUACAUCAUAGA
Telopea speciosissima is the source of this 200-nucleotide long non-coding RNA. RefSeq lists it as uncharacterized. The transcript has 3 exons. The record is from RefSeq and is a predicted model, not a curated record. Lineage: Eukaryota; Viridiplantae; Streptophyta; Magnoliopsida; Proteales; Proteaceae.